UCUACCAUGCCGGCCGCCGGUUUCCACCACGGAAUCAAUAGGGAAUCCCAGGCCCGCCAAUUCGGGCCAAACGGAACUGCCCCCCGCAACCUGUAGGUGCCGAGCCUGCUCCAUCAAUGCCACUGGGCCACGAACCCGGGAAGGCCGGAGCCAGGCCAUGACGCACCAGUCAGGAGACCUGCCGGCCUACAUUCACCAAC
Molecule: non-coding RNA, 200 nt
Filed under: Pseudomonas putida
Lineage: Bacteria; Pseudomonadati; Pseudomonadota; Gammaproteobacteria; Pseudomonadales; Pseudomonadaceae
Source: RNAcentral